This 309-nucleotide long non-coding RNA is filed under the name Solanum tuberosum (potato). Its description in RNAcentral is "long non-coding RNA (STUB_LNC004456)". Lineage: Eukaryota; Viridiplantae; Streptophyta; Magnoliopsida; Solanales; Solanaceae. The record is from RNAcentral.
UGGAAUUUCCUCCUUUGAUCUGCCACCACAUUUCAUGCUCUACUUCCUCCCUAAUGUUGAUCAUUUUCCUCCAUCCCUGUGAUACACCAGAACUCGUAACCAUCACAGGGUGGAGCUUUUUGCAGUACUUAUUCCACAUGUACUUUGCCCAUAAUGAUGUGGACACUCGAAAGUUCCACCAUAGUUUAGCAAAUAAAGCAUCAUUGAUGUCAUGUAAUGAUCUAAAGCCAAAAAACCCUUCAGCUUUUGGAAAACAUAACUCUUUCCAUGUCACCCAAUGCUUUUCUUUAAUUCCACCCAAAUUUCCCC